This is a non-coding RNA of Cucumis sativus (cucumber), 92 nucleotides long. NCBI's taxonomy places the organism in Eukaryota, Viridiplantae, Streptophyta, Magnoliopsida, Cucurbitales, Cucurbitaceae. The record is from Rfam.
GUUUGGCUUUGAUGAUUGAACUUCAGCUUCUAAUGCCAGUUCUGCUUCAGAAUUUGAUGAUUGACAAAGCUGUUUCUUUAAUCUGAGCCUUC